This 1055-nucleotide ribosomal RNA is filed under the name Acinetobacter baumannii. RNAcentral's name for it is "bacterial LSU rRNA". It matches the Rfam family "Bacterial large subunit ribosomal RNA", at positions 1894 to 2925 of the family's 2925-position model. The record is from RNAcentral. Lineage: Bacteria; Pseudomonadati; Pseudomonadota; Gammaproteobacteria; Moraxellales; Moraxellaceae.
CGUAAGCGAAGCUCUUGAUCGAAGCCCCAGUAAACGGCGGCCGUAACUAUAACGGUCCUAAGGUAGCGAAAUUCCUUGUCGGGUAAGUUCCGACCUGCACGAAUGGCAUAAUGAUGGCGGCGCUGUCUCCAGCAGAGGCUCAGUGAAAUCGAAAUCGCUGUGAAGAUGCAGUGUACCCGCGGCUAGACGGAAAGACCCCGUGAACCUUUACUGCAGCUUGACACUGAACUUUGACCUUACUUGUGUAGGAUAGGUGGGAGGCUUUGAAGCUGGAACGCUAGUUCCAGUGGAGCCGUCCUUGAAAUACCACCCUGGUAAUGUUGAGGUUCUAACUCUGUCCCGUGAUCCGGGACGAGGACCGUGUCUGGUGGGUAGUUUGACUGGGGCGGUCUCCUCCUAAAGAGUAACGGAGGAGUACGAAGGUGCGCUCAGCGUGGUCGGAAAUCACGCGUAGAGUAUAAAGGCAAAAGCGCGCUUAACUGCGAGACCCACAAGUCGAGCAGGUACGAAAGUAGGUCUUAGUGAUCCGGUGGUUCUGUAUGGAAGGGCCAUCGCUCAACGGAUAAAAGGUACUCUGGGGAUAACAGGCUGAUACCGCCCAAGAGUUCAUAUCGACGGCGGUGUUUGGCACCUCGAUGUCGGCUCAUCUCAUCCUGGGGCUGAAGCAGGUCCCAAGGGUAUGGCUGUUCGCCAUUUAAAGAGGUACGCGAGCUGGGUUUAGAACGUCGUGAGACAGUUCGGUCCCUAUCUACCGUGGGCGCUGGAAAUUUGAGAGGAUCUGCUCCUAGUACGAGAGGACCAGAGUGGACGAACCUCUGGUGUACCGGUUGUGACGCCAGUCGCAUCGCCGGGUAGCUAUGUUCGGAAGGGAUAACCGCUGAAAGCAUCUAAGCGGGAAGCCUACCUCAAGAUAAGAUUUCCCUAGGACUUUAUGUCCUCUAAAGAGCCGUUCGAGACUAGGACGUUGAUAGGUUGGAUGUGGAAGCAUAGUGAUAUGUGAAGCUGACCAAUACUAAUUGCUCGUGAGGCUUGACUAUACAACACCCAAGCAGUUG